UACGAAGGGGGCUAGCGUUGCUCGGAAUCACUGGGCGUAAAGCGCACGUAGGCGGGUCGCUAAGUCGGGGGUGAAAUGCCGAGGCUCAACCUCGGAACUGCCUUUGAUACUGGCGAUCUUAGAGUCCGGGAGAGGUGAGUGGAACUCCGAGUGUAGAGGUGAAAUUCGUAGAUAUUCGCAAGAACACCAGUGGCGAAGGCGGCUCACUGGCCCGGUACCGACGCUGAGGCACGAAAGCGUGGGGAGCAAACAGG
RNAcentral lists this ribosomal RNA (254 nucleotides) under uncultured bacterium. RNAcentral describes it as "partial 16S ribosomal RNA". It matches the Rfam family "Bacterial small subunit ribosomal RNA", at positions 524 to 776 of the family's 1533-position model. The record is from RNAcentral.